This 464-nucleotide ribosomal RNA is filed under the name uncultured bacterium. RNAcentral's name for it is "partial 16S ribosomal RNA". It matches the Rfam family "Bacterial small subunit ribosomal RNA", at positions 28 to 507 of the family's 1533-position model. The record is from RNAcentral.
GACGAACGCUGGCGGCGUGCUUAACACAUGCAAGUCGAGCGGAAAGGCCCUUUCGGGGGUACUCGAGCGGCGAACGGGUGAGUAACACGUGAGUAAUCUGCCCUUCACUUGGGGAUAACCUCCGGAAACGGUGGCUAAUACCCGAUACGACCAUUCCUCGCAUGAGGUGGGGGUGGAAAGUUUUUCGGUGGGGGAUGUGCUCGCGGCCUAUCAGCUUGUUGGUGGGGUAAUGGCCUACCAAGGCUUCGACGGGUAGCCGGCCUGAGAGGGUGACCGGCCACACUGGGACUGAGACACGGCCCAGACUCCUACGGGAGGCAGCAGUGGGGAAUAUUGGACAAUGGGCGGAAGCCUGAUCCAGCAACGCCGCGUGAGGGAUGACGGCCUUCGGGUUGUAAACCUCUUUCACCUGUGACGAAGCGAAAGUGACGGUAGCAGGAGAAGAAGCACCGGCCAACUACGUG